This 5962-nucleotide long non-coding RNA is filed under the name Solanum tuberosum (potato). RNAcentral describes it as "long non-coding RNA (STUB_LNC003426)". The record is from RNAcentral. Lineage: Eukaryota; Viridiplantae; Streptophyta; Magnoliopsida; Solanales; Solanaceae.
AGAACGAUAUCGUCACCUAAAAUAACUGUUGUGAUAUAAGUAGGUGAGAAAGAUUGUUGAUGUUAGUUAGACAAGUAGGGGCAGGUUAGUCAUUUAAAGAAGAAGUUAGUUGUAACUAAUUGUGUCAGUUUGUUAGUUAAGAAACUGAGUUAGUAUUCUGUUAAAAGUGUGAAGGAGCAACACUAUAAAUAACUCUUCAUUCUGUAACUACAUUUACUCAAUACAAUUACAGUUUUCAUAUAUUCCAAAUCUUCUCUCUUCUAUGAUUGAGUUUCUACAGUUUACGUUCAUGGUAUCAAAGCCAUAAGCUUCAUCACAAGCAUUGACUGAAGCUGGAAUUGGUCAAGGAAUCAAAGAAUCAGUCCUCUGGUUCAUCGAUUCAUUUGGUUUUUGAAGAAUAUUGCAGGUCGUAGCUUGGAGAAAGCUGGAAUCUGUAUUCUUCAGUUUGUUUUGUUGAUUUGCUUCCGCAAUUAGAAGCUCAAUUUGGUGAUAUCUUCAAUGGAGAAUGAAGGCUUACAUGCAGAUCUAACUCAGAAUGGAUCAGCAACAGUUGUUCCUCAGAAUAGCAGUUCAUUACAGGGGCAAGGUAUUGACUAUAAUCAUCCUCUUUUCCUUAGUCCUGCUGAUGUCAGUGGCUUGAGUCUGAUUUCCUUUCAACUAACUGGUAUUGAAAACUACAUGUUGUGGAGUAGAUCUAUAAGGCUAGCCUUAUUAGGGAGGAAUAAGAUUGGUUUAAUUGAUGGCACUGUUAAGAAAGAAAUGUAUAGUGUUGAAUUGUGGGGACAUUGGGAAAGAGUUAAUGCAAUUGUUUUGUCUUGGUUAAUGAACUCUGUGUGUAAGAGUUUACUGAGUGGAAUUGCUUUUGCUUCGACUGCCGUAAGUGUUUGGACUGAUCUAAAAGAGAGGUUUGAUAGAAUAGAUGGAUCUAGGACUUAUAGUCUACACAAAGAGAUUGCUUCGCUGCAACAGGGGACUGCUUCUGUUUCUGAGUAUUAUACCAGACUCAAAGGUUUAUGGGAUGAGUUUGAGGUAUUGGUGCCUGCACCUUGUUGUAAUUGUGAGAUCUCCAAAGGUUUUAUAGCUCACAUGAAUAGACAAAAGGUAUAUCAGUUUUUGAUGGGAUUAAAUGACUCCUAUCAUCAGGCUAGGAGUCAGAUCCUUAUGAUGGAUCCAUUACCCUCAAUUAAUCAUGUGUAUGCUAUGGUAAUUGGGGAUGAAAGCCAAAAAGCUGUGAUUGCGUGUACCACUAGCAUGAGCAUGACUACCAUUGGCUUGGACUCUUCUGUUGCUAUGUUCUCCAAGACUGGUAGUAGUUCAGGUGUGAGUCAAAGGUUCAAGAAAGGUUCCCUGCUGGUAUGUGAUUUUUGCAAAUGCAAAGGGCACAGCAAAGACUUUUGCUAUAAACUUGUUGGUUAUCCUCCUGAUUUCAAAUCAAAGAGGAAGCCUCAGCCUCAAGGAGGUGCUGUCACACAGGCCAACAGUUACUCUACACAAUAUUCAUCAGCUCCUCAGGCUAACUUUACCUAUGGUUUUAAUACCAACAUUCCUCCUCCAGGAUGGGGAAUAUCUAAUCAGCAGCAUAACAGUAUUAAUAAUGAAGGUACAUCUGCAGCUCCUCCUACCAGUCUCAAAGUUAGCCAAGCUGAGAAAGAAGUUCAACAUCUUCUCCAAGGAUGCACUUUCACUAAAGAUCAGUAUGAUCAUAUUCUGAAGAUGAUGCAGCAGAAGUCAGAUGUUACUUCUUCUCCCUCUAUGUGUAAUACUGCUAAUACAGGUAAACAUUCUUUUGUGUCUAAAGCCAAUCAGAUGUGGAUUAUUGAUACAGGUGCAACUAAUCAUAUGGUCUCCAGUUUAGACAUGAUGAUUAAGGGGUCAGUGUCGCAGCUUGCAGAGUCUAAACCUAUCUAUCUUCCAAAUGGUAGCACUACUCAAGUUUCUCAUGUUGGAUGUUGUGCUUUAUCAGCAAGAAGUGUGAUCACUAAUGCACUGCACCUUCCUGAUUUCAACUACAAUUUGUUGUCAGUCAGUCAAAUCACAAAGGAGUUAGGAUGCUCAGUUACCUUCUUCCCUAAUUUCUGUGUUUUCCAGGAUCUUUGCAGUGGGAAGGUGAAGGAAGUUGGUAAGCAAGAAGGAGGUCUAUAUCUACUGAUACAACACUUAACAAAUAAAGAUGCACAUAGUGAAGAGGAGGUUGCAUUUGCUGUCAACAAUACAAAGGUCAUAGACAUGGAAUUGUGGCACAAAAGGUUGGGGCAUGUGUCUUCAGCAGUCCUUGCAAGGAUGUUUGCUAUGAAUAAAGAAAGUUUAUGUACAGUGACUAAAUGUUCAGUGUGUCCUCUUGCUAAGCAAACAAGAUUAUCUUUUCCUAUUAGCAGUAUUAAGACUUCAGCUUGUUUUGAUAUGAUACAUGUGGAUUUGUGGGGUCCUUAUAAUACUCCCACUAUUGAUGGUAACAAGUAUUUUCUCACCAUUGUUGAUGACUUCUCUAGGAUGACUUGGUUAUUUUUGCUUAAACAUAAGUCUGCUGUGUGUGUUUCUCUUAAGGAGUUUCUCUUGUUUGUUAAAACUCAGUUUGGUAGAUCAGUCAAAGUCCUAAGGUCUGAUAAUGGUACUGAGUUUAUGAACUCAGUAUGUGAUGCUAUGUUCAAAGAAAUGGGCAUUAUUCAUCAGCGAUCAUGUCCUUAUACUCCACAGCAAAAUGGUGUUGCUGAAAGAAAACAUAGGCAUUUGCUUAAGGUGACACGAGCUAUCAGAUUUCAGGCCAGCAUACCAUUGAGGUAUUGGGGACAAUGUGUGUUAGUUGCUGCUUAUCUUAUUAACAGAAUUCCUAGUGGUGUGUUGAAUUAUGCUACACCUUAUGAAAGGCUGUAUGGUUGUAAACCUGUGCUAACUCAUCUCAAAACUCUAGGAUGUUUGUGCUAUGCUAAACUAUUGACUGAGCAUGAUAAACUCAAGCCAAGGUCCAGACCUGCUAUUCACAUGGGUUAUUCAGAGGUUCAGAAAGGUUACAUCCUACUUGAUCUGGGUAAUAAGUCAUUUUUUACUAGUCGAGAUGUAAUAUUCAGAGAAGAUUCCUUUCCGUUUGUCAAAGGGAUAGACCUUGUUUCAGAAAACAUGUUCUUAGAUAUAUUGCAUAUCUCAGAUGUCCUACCUCCUCACUUGAAUUCUAUUUCAUUUCCUCUUUCUCCUCCAGUUCCUACUUCUUCUGUAGUUGGUUCAGAUGAUCAUGAUCUACCUGUUGUGAAUCAGCAGGAUGAUCCUGCAUGGUCCCAAGUGUCUGUCUCAGAUCCUGCUUCUUUGAAUUCUGAGUCUACUUCUGAUUGUAGAAGGUCCACUAGACAGAAACAUACUCCUACUUGGAUGAAAGAUUUUGUCUCACUUUUAAUGAAUAUGAAAGUUCCAUAUCCUUUGUGCAACUCCAUGAGCUAUGCUCAUCUUUCUCCUAUCUAUCAAUCCUACCUUGCUGCCACCUCUGUAGAUAAGGAGCCUGACUCUUACUGUGAGGCUGUCAAAGACAUAAGGUGGGUAGAUUCUAUGAAGGCUGAAAUUCAGGUUCUAGAGAGUAAUGAUACCUGGGAGGUCACUGAUUUGCCACAGGGCAAAAGACCCAUAGGUUGCAGGUGGAUUUACAAAGUGAAGUAUAAGUCCACAGGUGAAAUUGAGAGAUUCAAAGCACGAUUGGUUGCUAAGGGGUAUAGUCAACAAGAGGGCAUAGAUUACACAGAGACCUUUUCACCUGUAGUAAAGAUGGUUACAGUCAGAACCAUAGUCUCUCUUGCAGCAGCUAGGCAUUGGCACAUUCAUCAAAUGGAUGUCUUUAAUGCUUUUCUACAGGGGGAUCUGGAUGAUGAGAUAUAUAUGCACCUACCUCAGGGUUUUGUCAGUCAAGGGGAGAAGGUGUGUAGACUGAAAAAAUCCCUAUAUGGUCUCAAACAGGCUCCAAGGCAAUGGAAUCAUAAAUUGACUGAAGCUCUUAUUAGACUCAGGUUUAAGCAGAGUCAACAUGACUAUUCUUUGUUCAUCAAUAAUACAGAAGAAGGGACCAUUAUAGUUCUUGUAUAUGUGGAUGACUUGCUAAUUACUGGUAGCAGUCUCGAGUUGAUAGAAGAAACAAAAACUGCACUACAACAAGCUUUUAAGAUGAAGGAUCUAGGUGAAUUAAAGUACUUCCUAGGUAUUGAAUUCACUAGAUCUUCAGCUGGUAUAUUAAUGCACCAGAGGAAGUAUGCUCUUGAACUUAUAGCUGAAGUUGGUAUGACAGCAGCCAAACCUGCAGGAACCCCUAUUGACAUAAAUGUUAAACUAACAUCAAAGUUAUAUGAUGAACAUGUGAAUCAAGAUCAGGAAGAAUCAGAGGAUCCACUGAUAGAUCAAAGAAUGUAUCAAAAACUGAUAGGAAAGUUGUUAUAUCUAAAUAUGACAAGGCCUGAUAUAACUUUCAGCACACAAACUCUCAGUCAAUUUCUACAACAACCUAAGAAGUCUCAUCUUGAUGCAGCGUUAAGGGUAGUUAAAUACUUAAAGAAGCAGCCUAGACAAGGUUUGUUGUUUGCAAGUAACUCAGAUGGACUAGUUACUGCUUUUUGUGAUGCUGAUUGGGCUUCUUGCCUGCUAACCAGGAGGUCUGUAACAGGAUACAUGGUAAAAGUUGGGCAGUCAUUAGUAUCAUGGAAGGCAAAGAAACAAACAACAGUUUCAAAAAGUUCAGCUGAAGCUGAAUAUAGAAGUCUUGCUUCUACUGUGUCAGAGUUAGUGUGGUUGCUUGGAUUACUUAAAGAAGUAGGAGCUGAAGUUCAAUUACCAGUUCAAGUUCAUAGUGACAGUAAGGCAGCUAUACAGAUUGCAGCAAAUCCAGUAUAUCAUGAGAGGACAAAGCAUAUUGAGAUUGAUUGUCACUUUAUAAGGGAAAGACUACAACAAGGACUUAUUAAGGUGAAUUAUCUUCCUACAAGAGAACAGCCAGCUGAUGUAUUGACAAAAGGCUUAUCUAGGCAACAACAUGAACAUCUACUAUCCAAGCUAGGAGUGCUAGACAUUUUUGCACCACCUAGCUUGAAGGGGAGUGUUGUGAUAUAAGUAGGUGAGAAAGAUUGUUGAUGUUAGUUAGACAAGUAGGGGCAGGUUAGUCAUUUAAAGAAGAAGUUAGUUGUAACUAAUUGUGUCAGUUUGUUAGUUAAGAAACUGAGUUAGUAUUCUGUUAAAAGUGUGAAGGAGCAACACUAUAAAUAACUCUUCAUUCUGUAACUACAUUUACUCAAUACAAUUACAGUUUUCAUAUAUUCCAAAUCUUCUCUCUUCUAUGAUUGAGUUUCUACAGUUUACGUUCAAUAACAACCUAUUAAGAGCAAAACUUCGUCAAAUCCACACUGAACCUCUUUUCAUCACUACACGUACCUACUAUGUAAUUUUAAGUUGAAGUAAGUAUAACCGGUAAAACCAGGAACUAUAUAUCUUACCUAUAGAGAACAAACUUGUCACUAUAUUGUUACAAAAUGUAAAAACCUCCAAGCAAACUAUUACUGAAUACAAUGAAGAAUUCAAGUUGGAAAUAGGUAGUUUCUUUAUCCCACACCUCAAUAUUAUUAUGGAAUACAUAUUUGGGGUCAGAAGAGGAUCCUUUUUUUUUCCUUCUAAUUUUUGUUGGUGAUCACUUUUUAUACUUUAUAUGAAAUUUUUGGGGGUUCUAAUAUUGCAGCUCCUACGUUUUGUCAAGGUCUCACAAUUGCUUCAGUAACUCAAUAAAUUAAAGCUCUUGCAGAAAGGAAGUAACUCGGAAGAACAGAAAUCAUCCAACACAAUCGAAUUAAAGGCAAAUCAGAAGAGAUUUUGCAGCACCAUAAUUUACAGAAGAAAAAUCAGACAAUGAGCGAAAAAUGCAUAAUUCUACCUUUUUGUUUGUUUGCAAAAGAGAACCUUGAAGAGUAUUUAUUUGAGUGAACACAUAAUGAAUGUGGUGUUUUCC